RNAcentral lists this ribosomal RNA (329 nucleotides) under Neocallimastigales sp. RNAcentral's name for it is "partial large subunit ribosomal RNA". Lineage: Eukaryota; Fungi; Neocallimastigomycota; Neocallimastigomycetes; Neocallimastigales. The record is from RNAcentral.
UGUUGUUUUUCUGAAAAUCAAUUUAAGAACUGUUCAUUUUUAGUUGUUAAGACUUUAUCGGCUUACUGCUAUUUUUUGGAUUUUUCUUGAAUGCACUUUUCAGUUAACGAGUCAACAUCAAUUUCUUUUGCUGUAAAACGGUAAAAGGAAGGUGGCUUUAUCUUCGGAUGAAGUGUUUAUAGCCUUUUACUUCUGCAAUCGGAGAGAUUGAGGUCUGCAGCGUAGAUCCUUCGGGGUUAGAUGCUUCUAUGCUAAGCUAUAGUCCUAUAUAGACAACUUGUUGACUAUGUUCGAUCCUGUAACUUACUCGUAGAUACUAUUUUACCUAC